RNAcentral lists this ribosomal RNA (497 nucleotides) under uncultured bacterium. RNAcentral describes it as "partial 16S ribosomal RNA". It matches the Rfam family "Bacterial small subunit ribosomal RNA", at positions 28 to 507 of the family's 1533-position model. The record is from RNAcentral.
GAUGAACGCUGGCGGCGUGCCUAAUACAUGCAAGUCGAGCGAACGGACGAGAAGCUUGCUUCUCUGAUGUUAGCGGCGGACGGGUGAGUAACACGUGGAUAACCUACCUAUAAGACUGGGAUAACUUCGGGAAACCGGAGCUAAUACCGGAUAAUAUUUUGAACCGCAUGGUUCAAAAGUGAAAGACGGUCUUGCUGUCACUUGUAGAUGGAUCCGCGCUGCAUUAGCUAGUUGGUAAGGUAACGGCUUACCAAGGCAACGAUGCAUAGCCGACCUGAGAGGGUGAUCGGCCACACUGGAACUGAGACACGGUCCAGACUCCUACGGGAGGCAGCAGUAGGGAAUCUUCCGCAAUGGGCGAAAGACUGACGGAGCAACGCCGCGUGAGUGAUGAAGGUCUUCGGAUCGUAAAACUCUGUUAUUAGGGAAGAACAUAUGUGUAAGUAACUGUGCACAUCUUGACGGUACCUAAUCAGAAAGCCACGGCUAACUACGUG